This is a non-coding RNA of Eubacterium sp. CAG:192, 168 nucleotides long. The record is from Rfam. Lineage: Bacteria; Bacillati; Bacillota; Clostridia; Eubacteriales; Eubacteriaceae.
UUAUUACAGUGUUGCAAUAGGUAAAUGCACCUGUGCUUGCACAAAGGUGCAUUUACCUAUUGACAACACGCCCCACAAAUGAGCAUAAAAGCACGACGAAGUCGGGCGAUAUGCGAAUGUGUGGGUUGGAUUGCGGGAGUACGAAGUACGUAGCAAUCCAAGUAAUAA